This is a non-coding RNA of Carassius carassius (crucian carp), 74 nucleotides long. The record is from the annotation of a RefSeq genome assembly. Lineage: Eukaryota; Metazoa; Chordata; Actinopteri; Cypriniformes; Cyprinidae.
GGCGCUGUGGCUUAGUUGGUUAAAGCGUAUGUCUCGUAAACAGGAGAUCCUGGGUUCAAAUCCCAGCGGUGCCU